Molecule: ribosomal RNA, 465 nt
Filed under: uncultured bacterium
Lineage: Bacteria
Description: partial 16S ribosomal RNA
Rfam family: Bacterial small subunit ribosomal RNA
Source: RNAcentral
CCUACGGGUGGCAGCAGUGGGGAAUAUUGCGCAAUGGGCGAAAGCCUGACGCAGCGACGCCGCGUGAGGGAUGAAGGUCUUCGGAUCGUAAACCUCUGUCAGCAGGGAAGAACGGUCACUUUGCUAAUCAGCAGUGAAUUGACGGUACCUGCAAAGGAAGCACCGGCUAACUCCGUGCCAGCAGCCGCGGUAAUACGGAGGGUGCGAGCGUUAAUCGGAAUUACUGGGCGGAAAGCGCUCGUAGGCGGUAUGUCAAGUCAAGGGUGAAAUCCCCGCGCUCAACGUGGGAACUGCCUUUGAUAGUGGCAGACUGGAGUGUGUGAGAGGAAGGUGGAAUUCCAGGUGUAGGAGUGAAAUCCGUAGAUAUCUGGAGGAACAUCAGUGGCGAAGGCGACUAUCUGGGACAUAACUGACGCUGAGGAGCGAAAGCGUGGGUAGCAAACAGGAUUAGAUACCCGUGUAGUC